RNAcentral lists this ribosomal RNA (412 nucleotides) under uncultured bacterium. RNAcentral describes it as "bacterial SSU rRNA". It matches the Rfam family "Bacterial small subunit ribosomal RNA", at positions 361 to 773 of the family's 1533-position model. The record is from RNAcentral.
AUAUUGCGCAAUGGACGAAAGUCUGACGCAGCGACGCCGCGUGUGGGAUGAAGCUCUUCGGGGUGUAAACCACUGUUGCCCGGGACGAACUUCUGGCUUUAGCCAGAUUGACGGUACCGGGUGAGGAAGCACCGGCUAACUCGGUGCCAGCAGCCGCGGUAAUACAGAGGGUGCGAGCGUUGUCCGGAAUCACUGGGCGUAAAGGGCGCGUAGGUGGCUUGGUAAGCGUGUGGUGAAAGCCUGGGGCUCAACCCCAGGUCUGCCGUGCGAACUGCCAAGCUUGAGCAUAGUAGAGGCAGGUGGAAUUUCGGGUGUAGCGGUGGAAUGCGUAGAUAUCCGAAAGAACACCGGUGGCGAAGGCGGCCUGCUGGGCUAUUGCUGACACUGAGGCGCGACAGCGUGGGGAGCAAAC